Molecule: ribosomal RNA, 253 nt
Filed under: uncultured bacterium
Lineage: Bacteria
Description: partial 16S ribosomal RNA
Rfam family: Bacterial small subunit ribosomal RNA
Source: RNAcentral
GACGUAGGGCGCGAGCGUUGUCCGGAUUUAUUGGGCGUAAAGAGCUCGUAGGCGGCUUGUUGCGUCGGCUGUGAAAUCCCACGGCUCAACCGUGGAACUGCUUGGUAUACUGCGGGUCUUGAGCCACCUAGGGGCAAGCGGAACAAGCGGUGGAGCGGUGAAAUGCGUAGAUAUCGCUUGGAACGCCAAUGGUGAAAACAGCUUGCUGGGGGUGUGCUGACGCUGAGACACGAAAGCCAGGGGAGCAAACGGG